CUACGGGUGGCUGCAGUGAGGAAUAUUGCACAAUGGGGGGAACCCUGAUGCAGCAACGCCGCGUGGAGGAUGACGCAUUUCGGUGUGUAAACUCCUUUUAUAUGUCAAGAAAAUGACGGUAGCAUAUGAAUAAGCACCGGCUAACUCCGUGCCAGCAGCCGCGGUAAUACGGAGGGUGCAAGCGGUACUCGGAAUCACUGGGCGUAAAGGACGCGUAGGCGGGUUGGAAAGUCAGGUGUGAAAUCCUACAGCUUAACUGUAGAACUGCACUUGAAACUUCUAAUCUAGAGUAUGGGAGGGGGAGAUGGAAUUAGUGGUGUAGGGGUAAAAUCCGUAGAUAUCACUAGGAAUACCUAAAGCGAAGGCGAUCCCCUGGAACAUUACUGACGCUAAGGCGUGAAAGCGUGGGGAGCAAACAGGAUUAGAUACCCGUGUAGUC
Molecule: ribosomal RNA, 439 nt
Filed under: uncultured bacterium
Lineage: Bacteria
Description: partial 16S ribosomal RNA
Rfam family: Bacterial small subunit ribosomal RNA
Source: RNAcentral